GAUACCAGGGUCAAAAGGUCAGAAGUUCGACGCAAGCUUGCUUGCAGGAGAAUUUUUGACCUUGGGACCCGCCAAAAACAUGAGUAAGUAGCCAUUUUUCAAAGAAAAAUGAGCGAAUUACGAAUGUUUUGAGGAUUGCGUGAGCACGCAGUGCGGAGUAAUCCGGU
RNAcentral lists this small RNA (167 nucleotides) under human gut metagenome. Its description in RNAcentral is "Clostridiales-1 RNA". It matches the Rfam family "Clostridiales-1 RNA". The record is from RNAcentral.